GUCUCGGUGGCCAAGUGGUAAGGCGUCGGUCUCGUAAACCGAAGAACCAGGGUUCAAUCCCCUGCUGAGGCA
Molecule: transfer RNA, 72 nt
Filed under: Gigantopelta aegis
Lineage: Eukaryota; Metazoa; Mollusca; Gastropoda; Neomphalida; Peltospiridae
Description: tRNA-Thr
Rfam family: tRNA
About the family: Transfer RNA (tRNA) molecules are approximately 80 nucleotides in length. Their secondary structure includes four short double-helical elements and three loops (D, anti-codon, and T loops).
Source: RNAcentral